CCCUACGGGGGGCAGCAGUGGGGGAUAUUGCACAAUGGGGGGAACCCUGAUGCAGCGACGCCGCGUGGGUGAAGGAGCGUUUCGGCGCGUAAAGCCCUAUCGGCAGGGAAGAAGAUGACGGUACCUGACCAAGAAGCCCCGGCUAACUACGUGCCAGCAGCCGCGGUAAUACGUAGGGGGCAAGCGUUAUCCGGAUUUACUGGGUGUAAAGGGAGCGCAGACGGCUGUGCAAGUCUGGAGUGAAAGGCGGGGGCCCAACCCCCGGACUGCUCUGGAAACUGUAAAGCUGGAGUGCAGGAGAGGUA
Molecule: ribosomal RNA, 305 nt
Filed under: uncultured bacterium
Lineage: Bacteria
Description: partial 16S ribosomal RNA
Rfam family: Bacterial small subunit ribosomal RNA
Source: RNAcentral